This 253-nucleotide ribosomal RNA is filed under the name uncultured bacterium. RNAcentral's name for it is "partial 16S ribosomal RNA". It matches the Rfam family "Bacterial small subunit ribosomal RNA", at positions 524 to 776 of the family's 1533-position model. The record is from RNAcentral.
UACGAAGGGGGCUAGCGUUGCUCGGAAUUACUGGGUGUAAAGGGCGCGUAGGCGGAUAGUUUAGUCAGAGGUGAAAGCCCAGGGCUCAACCCUGGAAUUGGCUUUGAUACUGGCUAUCUUGAGUUCGGGAGAGGUGAGUGGAACUCCGAGUGUAGAGGUGAAAUUCGUAGAUAUUCGGAAGAACACCAGUGGCGAAGGCGACUCACUGGCCCGAUACUGACGCUGAGGCGCGAAAGCGUGGGGAGCAAACAGG